This 451-nucleotide ribosomal RNA is filed under the name uncultured bacterium. Its description in RNAcentral is "bacterial SSU rRNA". It matches the Rfam family "Bacterial small subunit ribosomal RNA", at positions 354 to 796 of the family's 1533-position model. The record is from RNAcentral.
GUGAGGAAUUUUGCGCAAUGGGGGAAACCCUGACGCAGCAACGCCGCGUGAGUGAUGAAGGCCUUCGGGUUGUAAAGCUCUGUCAAGUGGGAAGAAACUUUUUCGGCUGAAUAAUCCGAAAAACUGACGGUACCACUGAAGGAAGCACCGGCUAACUCCGUGCCAGCAGCCGCGGUAAUACGGAGGGUGUAAGCGUUAUUCGGAUUUAUUGGGCGUAAAGGGCGUGUAGGCGGUCUGAACAGUCAGGUGUGAAAGCCCUUGGCUUAACCAAGGAAGUGCACUUGAAACUAUCAGACUUGAGUACGGGAGGGGGAAGUGGAAUUCCUGGUGUAGAGGUGAAAUUCGUAGAUAUCAGGAGGAAUACCGGUGGCGAAGGCGACUUCCUGGACCGAUACUGACGCUGAGACGCGAAAGCGUGGGGAGCAAACAGGAUUAGAAACCCCGGUAGUCC